GACGAACGCUGGCGGCGUGCUUAACACAUGCAAGUCGAACGGAAAGGCCCUGCUUUUGUGGGGUGCUCGAGUGGCGAACGGGUGAGUAACACGUGAGUAACCUGCCCUUGACUUUGGGAUAACUUCAGGAAACUGGGGCUAAUACCGGAUAGGAGCUCCUGCUGCAUGGUGGGGGUUGGAAAGUUUCGGCGGUUGGGGAUGGACUCGCGGCUUAUCAGCUUGUUGGUGGGGUAGUGGCUUACCAAGGCUUUGACGGGUAGCCGGCCUGAGAGGGUUACCGGCCACAUUGGGACUGAGAUACGGCCCAGACUCCUACGGGAGGCAGCAGUGGGGAAUAUUGCACAAUGGGCGGAAGCCUGAUGCAGCAACGCUGCGUGCGGGAUGACGGCCUUCGGGUUGUAAACCGCUUUCGCCUGUGACGAAGCGUGAGUGACGGUAAUGGGUAAAGAAGCACCGGCUAACUACGUG
This 468-nucleotide ribosomal RNA is filed under the name uncultured bacterium. RNAcentral describes it as "partial 16S ribosomal RNA". It matches the Rfam family "Bacterial small subunit ribosomal RNA", at positions 28 to 507 of the family's 1533-position model. The record is from RNAcentral.